Molecule: ribosomal RNA, 434 nt
Filed under: uncultured bacterium
Lineage: Bacteria
Description: bacterial SSU rRNA
Rfam family: Bacterial small subunit ribosomal RNA
Source: RNAcentral
UGGGGAAUAUUGGUCAAUGGGCGGGAGCCUGAACCAGCCAAGCCGCGUGAGGGAAGAAGGCCCUAUGGGUCGUAAACCUCUUUUGUCAGGGAACAAAAGCGAGUAUGUAUACUGGUCUGAGUGUACCUGAAGAAAAAGCAUCGGCUAACUCCGUGCCAGCAGCCGCGGUAAUACGGAGGAUGCGAGCGUUAUCCGGAUUUAUUGGGUUUAAAGGGUGCGUAGGCGGCGGUGCAAGUCAGCGGUAAAAGCCCGGGGGCUCAACCCCGGCGAGCCGUUGAAACUGCAGUGCUAGAGAAGGCGAGAGGUACGCGGAAUGCGCAGUGUAGCGGUGAAAUGCUUAGAUAUUGCGCAGAACUCCGAUUGCGAAGGCAGCGUACUGGCGCCUGACUGACGCUGAGGCACGAAAGCGUGGGGAUCGAACAGGAUUAGAUACC